UGCGAGUCGAGAGACAUCUGGUCUCGGCGAACCGCUCAGUAACACGUGGAUAACAUGCCCUAAGGUGGGGGAUAAUCUCGGGAAACUGAGGAUAAUACCCCAUAGGUCUUCUCUGCUGGAAUGCUUGAAGGCCGAAAACUCCGGUGCCUUAGGAUUGGUCUGCGGCCUAUCAGGUUGUAGUGGGUGUAAUGGACCCACUAGCCCGUGACGGGUAUGGGCCUUGAGAGAGGGAGCCCAGAGAUGGACUCUGAGACAUGAGUCCAGGCCCUACGGGGCGCAGCAGUCGCGAAAACUUCGCAAUGGGGGCAACCCCGACGAGGGAAUUCCAAGUGCCAGCACUUUGUGUUGGCUGUUCUCCUGUCUAAAAAACAGGAGGAGUAAGGGGCGGGUAAGACGGGUGCCAGCCGCCGCGGUAAUACCCGCGCCCCUAGUGGUGGUCGAUAUUAUUGAGCCUAAAACGUCCGUAGCCGGUCUUUUAAAUCUUUGGGCAAAUCGGGCAGCUUAACUGUCCGACUUCCGAGGAGACUGGAAGACUUGGGACCGGGAGAGGUCAGAGGUACUUCUGGGGUAGGGGUAAAAUCCUGUAAUCCUGGAAGGACCACCGGUGGCGAAGGCGUCUGACUAGAACGGAUCCGACGGUGAGG
This 644-nucleotide ribosomal RNA is filed under the name uncultured archaeon. Its description in RNAcentral is "bacterial SSU rRNA". It matches the Rfam family "Archaeal small subunit ribosomal RNA", at positions 52 to 702 of the family's 1478-position model. The record is from RNAcentral.